RNAcentral lists this ribosomal RNA (346 nucleotides) under Penthaleus minor. Its description in RNAcentral is "SSU rRNA". It matches the Rfam family "Eukaryotic small subunit ribosomal RNA", at positions 594 to 945 of the family's 1831-position model. The record is from RNAcentral. Lineage: Eukaryota; Metazoa; Arthropoda; Arachnida; Trombidiformes; Penthaleidae.
AUAGCGUAUAUUAAAGUUGUUGCGGUUAAAAAGCUCGUAGUUGGAUCUCAGCCCAAGCUAGUGGGUCCACCGGUAGGUGGUUACUCGCUAGCUGGGCAUUUUACCGAGCCGUCUCUUGAUGCUCUUUACCGAGUGUCUUGAGCGAUCGGUACGUUUACUUUGAAAAAAUUAGAGUGCUCAAAGCAGGCGACCCGCCCGAAUAAUCUUGCAUGGAAUAAUGGAAUAGGACCUCGGUUCUAUUUUGUUGGUCUUCGGAUCCGAGGUAAUGAUUAAGAGGGACAGACGGGGGCAUUCGUAUUGCGGCGCUAGAGGUGAAAUUCUUGGACCGUCGCAAGACGAACUACAG